AUUCAAUAAUGAGGGCACUUCCAUAAUAAUUCCUUUUACCUUUCUCAUGCCUCAAACAAGGACUCAUCAUCCGUUUGUUGGAAAGCAGUGAUCUCGCUCCUCAACUU
Gossypium hirsutum (cotton) is the source of this 107-nucleotide non-coding RNA. NCBI's taxonomy places the organism in Eukaryota, Viridiplantae, Streptophyta, Magnoliopsida, Malvales, Malvaceae. The record is from Rfam.